UGGGGAAUAUUGGACAAUGGGCGCAAGCCUGAUCCAGCCAUGCCGCGUGAGUGAUGAAGGCCUUAGGGUUGUAAAGCUCUUUCAGUGGGGAAGAUAAUGACGGUACCCACAGAAGAAGCCCCGGCUAACUUCGUGCCAGCAGCCGCGGUAAUACGAAGGGGGCUAGCGUUGUUCGGAUUUACUGGGCGUAAAGCGCACGUAGGCGGAUUGGUCAGUUAGAGGUGAAAUCCCGAAGCUCAACUUCGGAACUGCCUUUAAUACUGCCAGUCUAGAGUCCGGAAGAGGUAAGUGGAACUCCUAGUGUAGAGGUGGAAUUCGUAGAUAUUAGGAAGAACACCAGUGGCGAAGGCGGCUUACUGGUCCGGUACUGACGCUGAGGUGCGAAAGCGUGGGGAGCAAACA
RNAcentral lists this ribosomal RNA (402 nucleotides) under uncultured Devosia sp. RNAcentral describes it as "bacterial SSU rRNA". It matches the Rfam family "Bacterial small subunit ribosomal RNA", at positions 355 to 774 of the family's 1533-position model. The record is from RNAcentral. Lineage: Bacteria; Pseudomonadati; Pseudomonadota; Alphaproteobacteria; Hyphomicrobiales; Devosiaceae. RNAcentral also lists the same sequence under 1 other name.